Molecule: ribosomal RNA, 496 nt
Filed under: uncultured bacterium
Lineage: Bacteria
Description: partial 16S ribosomal RNA
Rfam family: Bacterial small subunit ribosomal RNA
Source: RNAcentral
GAUGAACGCUGGCGGCGUGCCUAAUACAUGCAAGUCGAGCGAACAGACGAGGAGCUUGCUCCUCUGACGUUAGCGGCGGACGGGUGAGUAACACGUGGAUAACCUACCUAUAAGACUGGGAUAACUUCGGGAAACCGGAGCUAAUACCGGAUAAUAUAUUGAACCGCAUGGUUCAAUAGUGAAAGACGGUUUUGCUGUCACUUAUAGAUGGAUCCGCGCCGCAUUAGCUAGUUGGUAAGGUAACGGCUUACCAAGGCAACGAUGCGUAGCCGACCUGAGAGGGGGACGGCCACAAGUGAAAGUGAGCCCGGCCCCAGCCCCCGAGGGGGGGCAGCAGAGGGGAUCCUCCCGAAAGGGGCAAAGGCCGGAGGGCGCACCGCCGGGGGAGGGAAGAAGUUCUUCGAAUCGAAAAACGUUUUUAUGAGGAAAAAAAAAUUGUGAAAGUACCUAGCCCCGUUUGGGCGGUCCUAAAAAAAAAAGCCACGCCUAACUGCGG